Non-coding RNA from Camellia sinensis, 658 nucleotides. The record is from RefSeq and is a predicted model, not a curated record. NCBI's taxonomy places the organism in Eukaryota, Viridiplantae, Streptophyta, Magnoliopsida, Ericales, Theaceae.
UUUUAUCGAUAUGUUUACUUUUAUAUUUUGUAGAGUUAUGUCUAUUUUAUUGUACAGUAAGCUCUAUUACUGUAAUUUGUUCAUUGCAUGCAUUUAUUUGUCUGUUGUCCAUUCAUCAGUAUGAGCUAGAGCGUGAGAAACUUGCUAUGGAACUAGAGGAGGAGAGGAAAUCACACAAAGCACGAGAUCAAUGCAUUAGGGAACAACAAAUGAAAAUUGAUAAUCUCAAUAGUCUUGUCACCGUUUCGGAUUUUGAUAAAAAGUCUAGCCAGGAGUAAUGGACUGCAAGUUCCACCCUAGGCAACCAUGGUUAUUCACUGUGGGUGCUGAUUCAGUGAUCAAACUGUACUGUCAUUAAAAAAAGAAAAAGACGGUGAAUUGCCCUGUCUGUGUUUCAUAUUAUUAUUGGUUGAAACACAUUCUCACUUCAGCUAAAAUGGAUGAUGGGGUCAAUCAAUCUCACCGGGGAGAUUGGGCAGCUGAAGUGUGUUUCAGAUAUAUGAUUCAAUUUUUGAAGGUGAAGAUGACAAAUCAAUAGUCAUUUCCCAUAUCAAAGUUUUUGACAGUUGCUUGUUUCAUUUUGUUUAAUUGAAUUGGCUGAAUUGUAUUAUGCCCCGACAUAUAAUAGAUUUUCUUUUAAUUUUGCUUGUGUUCAUAU